Panonychus citri (citrus red mite) is the source of this 425-nucleotide long non-coding RNA. RefSeq lists it as uncharacterized. The transcript has 3 exons. The record is from RefSeq and is a predicted model, not a curated record. Lineage: Eukaryota; Metazoa; Arthropoda; Arachnida; Trombidiformes; Tetranychidae.
AAUUGUGAUGAAAACAUAAUAAUAAUAAUUGAAAAUAAUCGCUAAUCAUCAUCAUCAUGUUGUCAGUUAUAUUUUUCAAUUAUUUUCUUAAUCAAUAUCAUGCUAAUAGAGAUUAAGAUUAAGAUGUUAUUAAAAUUUUCAAUCUUCAACCUUUGGGUCUUUACCCUUGAUUUCACCUUCUUCUUAGCUGUCAUAUUGGCUCUUACAAGUUGUAAAUCUUUUUCUGGUAUUUUCUGAAGAGCCUCAUUACUUGGUACGAAAACGGUAUAAGGUCCACCUAAUCAACAAAGGAAUUAAGUAGGAAGUAAAUUGGUUUCUAAUUGUUAAUUGUAUUGUGUUUAAUUAACUCACCUCUGGAUAAAGUUGAUCCUAAUCCAGUUCCCAUUGCGAGUGUAACAAAACCAUCAAAUUUAUUACAAGAUUUC